GUAUGAAGUUGGAAUCGCUAGUAAUCGCGGAUCAGCAUGCCGCGGUGAAUACGUUCCCGGGCCUUGUACACACCGCCCGUCACACCAUGAGAGUCGGGAACACCCGAAGUCCGUAGCCUAACCGCAAGGAGGGCGCGGCCGAAGGUGGGUUCGAUAAUUGGGGUGAAGUCGUAACAAGGUAGCCGUAUCGGAAGGUGCGGCUGGAUCACCUCCUUUCUAAGGAGA
This 225-nucleotide ribosomal RNA is filed under the name Bacteroides ovatus. RNAcentral describes it as "partial 16S ribosomal RNA". It matches the Rfam family "Bacterial small subunit ribosomal RNA", at positions 1318 to 1533 of the family's 1533-position model. Lineage: Bacteria; Pseudomonadati; Bacteroidota; Bacteroidia; Bacteroidales; Bacteroidaceae. The record is from RNAcentral.